AUUGAACGCUGGCGGCAUGCCUUACACAUGCAAGUCGAACGGCAGCACGGGUGCUUGCACCUGGUGGCGAGUGGCGCACGGGUGAGUAAUACAUCGGAACAUGUCCUGUAGUGGGGGAUAGCCCGGCGAAAGCCGGAUUAAUACCGCAUACGAUCUACGGAUGACAGCGGGGGACCUUCUGGCCUCGCGCUAUAGGGUUGGCCGAUGGCGGAUUAGCUAGUUGGUGGGGUAAAGGCCUACCAAGGCGACGAUCAGUAGCUGGUCUGAGAGGACGACCAGCCACACUGGGACUGAGACACGGCCCAGACUCCUACGGGAGGCAGCAGUGGGGAAUUUUGGACAAUGGGCGAAAGCCUGAUCCAGCAAUGCCGCGUGUGUGAAGAAGGUCUUCGGGUUGUAAAGCACUUUUGUCCGGAAAGAAAUCCUUGGCCCUAAUACGGGCGGGGGAUGACGGUACCGGAAGAAUAAGCACCGGCUAACUACGUG
RNAcentral lists this ribosomal RNA (486 nucleotides) under uncultured bacterium. Its description in RNAcentral is "partial 16S ribosomal RNA". It matches the Rfam family "Bacterial small subunit ribosomal RNA", at positions 30 to 507 of the family's 1533-position model. The record is from RNAcentral.